UACCGAGGCCUCGAGCGUUGUUCGGAAUUACUGGGCGUAAAGGGAAUGUAGGUGGUCUUGUAAGUCAGAUGUGACAGCCCUGGGCUUAACCUGGGAACUGCAUUUGAUACUGCAAGGCUUGAGUGCAGGAGAGAAGAGCGGAAUUUCUAGUGUAGGAGUGAAAUCCGUAGAUAUUAGAAGGAAUACCGAUGGCGAAGGCAGCUCUUUGGCCUGUAACUGACACUGAGAUUCGAAAGCAUGGGUAGCAAACAGG
Molecule: ribosomal RNA, 253 nt
Filed under: uncultured bacterium
Lineage: Bacteria
Description: partial 16S ribosomal RNA
Rfam family: Bacterial small subunit ribosomal RNA
Source: RNAcentral